Molecule: RNA transcript, 8867 nt
Organism: Scylla paramamosain (green mud crab)
Lineage: Eukaryota; Metazoa; Arthropoda; Malacostraca; Decapoda; Portunidae
Exons: 6
Source: RefSeq, a predicted model, not a curated record
CACUCACCAGGAGAGGCAUUCUGUCAACAGUGAACUCUAUAUAUGAUCCAUUAGGUCUAGUGUCACCUCUCAUACUGACUGGAAAGCAAAUUUUACAAGAAUUAUGUAAGAAUGCAGUUGAAUGGGAUGAUGAGGUGCCAUAUUAUGUCAAACCUAAAUGGAUAAAAUGGAAGGACGAGCUGCACAAACUAGAUCAGCUAAAAGCACCUAGAUGCUACAAACCUUAUGACUUUGGGGAAGUAGAAAAGGUUGAACUCCAUCACUUUUCAGAUGCCUGUCAAGAGGGAUAUGGUCAGUGCUCAUAUAUUAGAUUAAUUAGUAAGACUGGCCGAAUUCAUUGUGCAUUAGUAAUGGCAAAGUCACGUGUCACACCUCUAAAAACCAUGACAAUUCCCAGAUUAGAACUAGCAACAGUAGUGGUAUCAGCUAGAAUCCAUAAACUCUUAAAGGGAGAACUUGAGUAUAAUAAUGUGGAAGAAGUAUUUUGGACGGACAGGAAAGUAGUCCUUGGUUACAUUGCAAAUGAAGCAAAGAGAUUCCAUGUAUAUGUUGCUAAUAGAGUAGAAACAAUUAGAGAUUGCACUUCACCAGAUCAGUGGAAAUUUGUAGAGACACAGUAUAACCCAGCAGAUCAUGCAUCUAGAGACAUGACAGCAGAUGAAUUGUGUAACAGCAAGAUCUGGUGGAAUGGCCCAGAAUUCCUUUGGCAACAUAGCAAAAUGGAUAACCAUUCCCAGUACAAGGUCAUAAAUGAAAAUGACCCUGAAGUGAAGAAAGUUGUAUGCCAUGGUGUAGGUACACAACAGCCCACAGAUAUACACAAAGACUUGAGUAUUUUUCUGAUUGGUUUAAAGCAAAGAAGGCAGUUGCUGUAUGCCUCAAGCUCCUGAACAGUUUCAGAGGAAAAGGUGAUGGCACUACUAAAGUAAAGGGAGACACAUAUGAGCCAGUAAAUGUAGCACAAGUGUCAAAAGCUGAAAAUGAAAUUAUAAAACAACUGCAAGUAAAGGCAUUCCAAGGGGAGAAAAAUGUACUGAAAUCAUCUGCUAACCAUAAUUCUUUGAUUAAAGGGGACAAUGGCAAGGGAACAAAAGUGAUAGACAAGACCAGUUCUCUCUAUAAGUUAGAUCCCUUCAUUGACAAAAUGGUAUCAUGAGAGUAGGAGGAAGAUUGAGGCUUUCUAAUCUGACAGAUGAAUCCAAACAUCCAGUCAUCCUCCCCAAAACAUCACACAUAACCCAGCUGAUAAUAUGCCACCACCACAAAAGGACAAAUCAUCAAGGCAGGGGCAUAACUUUAAAUGAAAUCAGGUCAUGUGGAUACUGGAUAGUAGGAGGAUCAUCCCUAGUAUCAAGGCACAUUUCAAAGUGCAUUAUCUGUCAUAAAGUUAGAAGUACAACACAGGGACAGAAGAUGGCAGACCUGCCUAUUGACAGACUAGAACCAUCACCUCCUUUUACAUACUCAGCAGUAGAUUUCUUUGGCCCUUUCUAUGUCAAAGAGGGGCGUAAAGAGCUUAAAAGAUAUGGAGUGCUCUUUACUUGCAUGGCAUGUAGAGCUGUGCACAUAGAGACAGCCAACAGCAUGGAUACAAGUUCCUUCCUUAGUGCAUACCGUCACUUUGUAGGACGAAGAGGGCCCGUAAGACAGUUGAGAUGUGACCAAGGAACUAACUUUGUAGGAGCCAAAUCAGAGUAUGAGAAAUGCUUGAAAGAACUAAAUAACAAUAAAGUCAGACAAGAACUCAUGAAAGAUCAGUGUGACUGGAUUGUUUUUAACAUGAAUUUACCCAAUUCCAGUCACAUAGGAGGUGUUUGGGAGAGGCAGAUACGCACAGUGAGAAAUGUACUCUCUGUGGUACUUGAUCAGCAUGGUACCCAGUUAGAUGACCAAGAUCUGAGAACCUUCUUAGUCGAAGCUGAAAAUAUAGUUAAUGGUCGUCCUCUAACUGUGGACCAUCUUAACUCCUCAGAAAGUCCUACACCGUUGACACCCAGUAAUUUGUUAACUAUGAAAACAAGGAUAGUACUGCCUCCUCCAAGUAUUUUCAUUAAGAAGGACCUGUACUGCAUAAAGAGAUGGCGCAGAGCACAAUACCUGGCCAACCAGUUCUGGUCCAGGUGGAAAAAGGAGUAUGUGCAGUUCCUACAACUUAGAAAUAAGUGGACAACACCAAAGAGAAAUCUCAGUGUAAAUGACAUAGUUAUCCUCAAGGAUCAGAAUGUAGCAAGGAACCAGUGGAAAUUGGGAAGAGUAACAGAAGUAUCUCCUGAUCAUGAUGGCCUAGUAAGAAAGGUUAAGGUCCUGGUGUCAGACUGUAAUCUCAACAACCAGGGAAGACGCACAAAGGCAAACAGGACCAUCAUAGAGAGGCCAAUACAUAGUCUAGUAUUGCUGUUAGUAGGUAAUGCAUAAUAAUAGACCGGAGCAUCUCCGCAAAGGAGCCAGUGUAACAAAACAUAUUAUGUGCUAAUCCUAGUUUUAAGGUACGUACUAAUGUUAAUUUAAGGUAAAUUGUUACACAAUUUAGGGGAGCCAUGUUACUGUAUGUAAAGUGUAUAUACCUCAUGUCAUUAUUCCUCAGUAAUCAUAAGUGAAAUGUUCAAUAGUUUUCUAUUUGCAUGAAAACAUGAUUGUAAUGUGUGUAAAUAUCAGUAUUCAAUGGUAUAUUAAGCACCGAAGCCGAUGCUCACUUGUUGGUAGAGUGUGGUUAACCCACUGAUCGCCUGCGGGUGUCACUCACGGCCAAGUCGCGCUCAGACAAAGACGGGCAGGAUGGUGACCGAGCUUUGUAUUUCAUCAUGAGUUUUGAUUUACUGUUUGUGAUAAUGACCUGUGUUACAUCGUCUGCAUACAUAGUGUCGAGGCAAGAUGGUCCAGCUGCAGGCAUGAUGAAGGCAUCAGGCGAUAAACAGUGCACACGCGGGACUGAGUCACUGAGUAAACACAGUGCAGUGGGCCGCGGGUGGCAUGAAGCAGUGUGCUCUGGUGGCGAGGGGACAAAGUAUGCCUUGCGCAGGAAUUUUAAUCGAUUUUACUCAUAACACCAGGUUCUGCUCCCCUUUAUGGUUGCCACUACUUGAGAUCAGCCUCCCAACACUGCCACUUCUACACAAUGUAGUGUGAAGCUAAGAUUCACUUCCACAGGAUCCUUCUCCUGGAUUGAGUUACACAAAUGAGGUCUUCAGCAUGUUUCACCCACCGACAGAAGAUGAACCACAGCCACCCAGGUCUGACCGGACUUGGAGAAGAAACAGACACCAUUGCACUGCAAAGACUCUUGUUUCCUGUAAGCCCAGAGCCCCCUAAAGAACACUGGAGUUUAGAAACAUUUAACACCACAACAAUGUUUACACAAACAAGAUGGUUCCAAGCAGAACAGAGAGGGUCUACUGACUGCUCACAGACAUGCCAAAUACUCGACUAUUACAGGCAAGGAGUCGUUAUGGGAGGUAUCUCUAUACUUAUGAGAUACUACAAUCACAGGGCACAGCACACCCAUUCCCGCACAUGGAGCCAAACUCCCUCACGUGGCCAGCACAGUACAACAAACACUGGGGUCAGCCAACACACCUCUGGGCCAGCCCCACUUGUCCCAGCAACUGCUCCUGUGUGCAGUCUUCUCUCAUCAAAUCUGAUUCCUUGUCACUUUGAAGAGGACAGCAUCCAUCAAUACACACUUUCCUACUCAGGCCCAGCAUCUGACAAUUAACAACAGCUUGCCCACAUGAAGUCCCCAGCAACACUGACUGCUGUAUUAUUAAAUUCCCCCUUCCCCUUCCCAUCCCCUUGCCUUUCCCAUGGCCAUUUACAGUAUUAUUAAUCUCCUCCAUCCCCAGGGCUGUGUUUGAAAAUGAAACAACGGGGGCAGGAUAGGGUAGAAAAAUGCUGACUUGGUGGGGUGAGAGACAAGAUACCUUCACUUUCCCUUCAUAUAUUUUUGGAAACAAUACACUUAUUGAUUUGUUUUUUAGAGAAGGUAAUGCGUUUAUAAACGUGAAAAAAAUAAUGAAUCAUGUAGCAUUUCAGACUUUGCUUAUAUGGAUAUGUUUGUAAUGUUUCUGGAGACAUUGGUGUUCCUGUGUGAUUGUAAACAUACCCCCACAGUGAUGCAGCCUCCUGUUACCAGUAUGAGUUGCCAGAGAGAGAGAGAGAGAAGGAGAGAGAGAAUGGUAUGCAUUUUCUUACACACACACACACACACACACACACACACACACACACACACACACACACACACACACACACACACACACACACACACACUAAACCCAUCUAGAGACAUAAAUGUGAUCAUAUCUUGAUCUUGCCAAGAGAGAGAGAGAGAGAGAGAGACUAUAGGGAACAUCAUACCAGAUAAUGGUGUGCAGCUCCUCAAACACACACACACUACCUGUAAAAGUGAGUAUCUCUUGCCAGCAGUGUGUGUGGCAAAGCAUGAUAGAAAGCGAGACUGGUAAACAUUAGACAAUGGUGUAUAUAAAUGCAUAAAUCACCUGUUGUGGCAUAACUGGGAACUCAUACCAGCAGGCCUAGCCAGCCUCCGGGGCCCCCGCGCUCCCACGUGUGAUUUUCAAGGUUGCUAACAUAGCUCAGAUUUUUUAUUUGCUAUUUACUUGUAGAUUAUCAACUUUAUGCAUUAGUUUAUAUUAUAUAAUGUAUAUUAGUGAAAAUGUAAGCAAAAAAUGCAUUCAUUGUCUCAUUUCUGAGAAUUAUUGGUUUGAAAGUGUUACCAACAUUAAGCUUGGCCAUUGUGGUGAACCUCACGCGCAGGAAGGGGACAGGGUUCUCAAAUACUUUAGCCCCGUGGAUGAGGUCGGGGACGGGAUGGGGAAGGGGUGAUUUAAUAUGGCCAUGAGGGUACUUCCUGAGUGGCAACCAAAGCAUCACCGGCAGCCUUAGUCAGUGCUGCCUAAAAGACACUGCACUCUAAUGCUUUUGCCAACUACAUCUUUACAACUCUUCCAGAAAGGAGGAAUUGGGCUAGAAAUAUCACUCACAACUCCCACACUAGGGGAAACAAACCUAGACAUAAUGCAAGGGAGAGGGGUCCCAGACAAGAGGUCAUCAGACUUGUCUGGGGCCAGAGCUUAACCCAUGCAGUUACACUCAACAAGCUGGACCACACCCAGCUCCCACACCCACAACCACGCCACAAGCUCUUGAGUCAUUCUUGGUCUAAAAUGGCCAAAUACCAGGCUGCUAUGUGCUAUUAGCACCCAUGCCUCCUUGACUGCUGAUGGCACAAGAAAAUGGAGCAACAGACCUCUGUCCUCCUCUCUCCUCCAGCUAUUCAAAUUAUUUUUAUCAUCUGCCAACACUGCCCAAGCCUCUGCUUCCUUGCCAUCCACUACUGCCAUGGCAAGUAGUGAGGCAGCACAUACAUGAGGGGCAAAACCCUCCUUAGGUACAUUGACAGCUGUAGCAACAGCUGCCAGCAGGAGCAACUCACUACAUGAGCAAGCACCCACUGUGUCUGAUCCUGGCAGGAGAGUAGCCUGCUUCCCAUCUCCGGUACCUUCCACAGGGGAGGAAACUCCCAUCUCCCCACCUGAGUUAGGAGUCUCCUCACCCUCAGCAGUGACCCCUAACACACCAGACACAACAGGGUAGAGCAUGGACUGAAUACCGGUGCCCACAGCCUCAACUCCAGGUGACAACUCUGGUUGAGCAUCACCUCCAAGAGGCUCCGUAGGGUAAGGCAAGGCAUCAAACAAACCACCUAAAUCUCACACCCCAGCCUCACCCUCAGCACAACUCCCAUCAAAGUCAGGUGCUCUCUGUGGUGUCUUCGCUGUUGCAGUCAGCCCCAGCACACUGACUCAAAGAUGAGUCCAAUUAUGACUCGUUCAGAAACUUGCCAGCAGUGAGACAGGUCUCUGGGCACUCUGCCCCCACUGCAGCAUCAACAUAAACUCUGCACUCCUCAAGUGGUAGUCCUGCAUUAUUGCAGCUGACCCAGGAGUCACAGAACCCAUGAGCACCAUGAUGCUGGGGUGUUUGCCUCACCUUAGGGCAAGCGACAACAGAAAUAGAAUCAUGAAUAUCAGGAGCUUCCACAUCCAGGACAGUUUCCUCAGAUGGGAGCUGUACCCAAACCUUUCCCCCCUGCCAGGUCAUUCCCCAGAAGGAAAUCAACCCUAGACACUGGCAGGUCCUCUGCUAGUGCCAUCCAUGCCUCUGCAAUCACUAGCAGGCAUACAAGCUUUCUGUGGCGUCAAUUCUCCAGCACCAGACUGGCUUAUCUGAUGUAACCCACCUCUCAGUCACAUUCCUGCACAGCAACUGCUGUGCAGCUGUGUCUCUCAAAACAGUGACAGGGUAGUCAACCCAAUCAAUUUCAACAGUGCCCUGGCACAAAAAUGGACGGCACCAGUCCAAACCAAACUUCACAGGGUACGAGGGGGUUUCAACAGAUGAGGGGGCAGUACUUCCUGCCUUUAUACCCUUAGUACUAAACAUGGACUGAGUCUCUUCACGCUCAACACCUUGGUUGUGUGAUACAAUCAAAGCCACCAGCUUCUCAGAUGGCUUAGAAGCCGUGGCUGUCACAAACUUGGGUUAGUUAAAUUUAAAGUGCCCAUUAUUUUUACAAUAGUGACACAUGGGCUGCAUACUGUACCAGGGAGGGCUGUGUUGCAUAUUCUCAGACUGUCUCCAUCAAGGGCUGAGUGGAGACUUGUUACCUACGGAGCUGACUUGUCCUGACUUAUUUCUGAAGCCACUGCUAUAGCGUGGGCUUUCUGACAAACUGGUACUUGCCACACCACCAGACAAAACAUCACCAGCCCUGCUAGACAUACUACCAAUCCAAUGUGGCACAGGCCAAUAAGCCAACACGUGGUCAUCUGCCCAUGUAGCUGUCUCCUUCAGGCUUUUAAACCAUUUCUCAUGGUGCAGCAGUAUCAGUUCUUUCUUGGCCAUGUUUACAAAUUGCUCCAUUAUCAUAAGCUCUCUUAACUCAUGAUAGGAAGUGGCCUGCUCGUUAGCAAUCCAUUUUCCAAACAUCUCUUCGAAAUAGCAAGCACACUCAAGGUAGGAGUUACUAGGUCUUUUCUUCCCACCACAGAAAUGCAGCCUAUAAGUCUUGGGUCAUAGCUUGUAGGCUCUCAGGAUGUCAGCCUUAAACUUCUCAUAAUCCUCCAGGUCUUCAACUGACAUUCUGUCAUAAACCUCCAGAGCCUUGCCCUUCACCAUAUUUGCAACAAAGCCAACUCAUCUCUUCUGAGACCAAUCAAAUUCCGAGCCUUUCUCAAAUCUGAACCAUUCUGUUACUUUCUUUUCAUCAAACUCAGGUAUCAACUUCAAAUUCUUCAUCAUUUGGCUCUCUACGGCAUUUUCUCUCACUCCACUCAUCAAGCCAUGAGGUGAGUUAACUUCUAUCCGCAUCUUCUCCAACUCAAACAUCCGUAUCAUCGUUUCUUUCUAAUAUAUUCUCGCCUUCUUCUCCUUUUCUGCUUCUAGUAAUCUCAGCUCUUUCUCUUGCUUAAGUAAUCUCACUUUUUCCUUGGCUUCCAGUCACUUGGCUUCCCUCUCAGCCUCAAGCCUCCUGGCUUCUCUAGCCUCCACAGCCCUCAAUCUCCUUUCCUCAGCUUCCAAUUCAAACCUUUUUAAUUCUCUCUCACUCUCAGCCUCUAGCUCCAUUCUCCUCAUUUCCAGUUUAAACCUCAUUUUCUCAGACAUGCCUUCUGUCUGGGAAAAUCCACUAAUACUGUGGGCAGGACUUACUUGACCAUGGGCACUAUUUGUGGGACUAUGUGUCCUCAUGCCAAACUGUGUCAGAUCUACGCUGCCACUUCUGGCAGAAGCAGGAGACUCGGGUUGCGAGCCACUCCUGUUACCAGCCUUUCCCUUCCUUCAUGGUGCAACCUGAGUGUGGGCACACAACGGGUAAUGAAAUGAAUAACAAGCAACUGUCUCCCCCAUGUAGCUACGAAGCUUCCAGCAAUCUCGGUGAGGUUGCCAAUUUCUGUUACAACCACAGGUGCUGCCCCUCUCACAGCGGCCUUUAUCUUGGCUCGCUUCCCCGAGUCACCACCUAUGUAACUUGGUGCAGAGCUUAAUAGAGGGGUCACAAGGUCCUUCUGGUCUCUUGAAACCUGUUAACAAAACAGUUAUAACACCAGGUUCUCCCCUUUAUGGCCACCACUACCCAGGAUCAGCCUCCCUCCACUGCCACUUCUACACAGUGGAUUCACCUCCACAAGGUUCUCAGAGAGUUACACAACUGAGGUCAUUAACCUGUUUCACCUACCAACAGGCAAGGGAAUAUUACAACAGCAAAUUCACUCUCAACAGUUGGGAAAGAAUCAAAAGCCACAUUGUAGGAGGCACUGCUAUGAUGAGUGACAAACACAUUUAAGGAUUAUAAGAUUCUAUGGACUACCGCUCUCUCAAACUACAAGACUAAUAUCCACGCACAUCCAUAGAAUGAUCUCUUCUGCCAUGCAAUACCAUCUGUGUCUUGUCAGAAGACGAACCACAGUCACACAGGACAGACUGGGCUCAGAGAAAAAACAGAUACCACUGUACUGCAGAGACUCGGGUGUCCUCUAAGCCUAAAACCCCCUAAAGAACACUAGAACUUAGCAACAUUUAACAACACAACAACAUAUAAAUGAAUAAGCUGUCCCAAAGCAGAACAGAGAGGGUGUUUUGACUGCUCACAGACAUGACAAAUACUCGACCGGUCGAACGAAUUGAGCAUUUAAGCAUUGUCCUUUCCAGGUAUUCCAGGUAUUCCCCCAGGUAUUGAAAGUGUUUAAUAUCAGUGUAUAAUGUUAUUUUGUAAGAAAUUGAGACUGAGAAUUUGUUUGCCAUUCUUACUGUCAUGCCUACCUCAUCAAUAAAUGUCAAGAGAGAGAGAA